This 394-nucleotide long non-coding RNA is filed under the name Scleropages formosus (Asian bonytongue). Its description in RNAcentral is "lncRNA (ENSSFOG00015024653.1)". Lineage: Eukaryota; Metazoa; Chordata; Actinopteri; Osteoglossiformes; Osteoglossidae. The record is from RNAcentral.
ACAGUCUCAGUGAGUCUCUCGGUUACAGUUCAACAAUGAAUGAGGAAAAUGGCACAAGAUUCAGCGGGGAAAGACAUCACACAGACAGAAUGAGAACCACUCGACACACGAAGAUGUGCAGGAAUAGGUUAAAACGGGACCUUGCAUUGAUCUUUUGCUGAUGCAACCAAGUGUGAUGACGUGGUCCUGGCCGGAAUCAAGGAUUACAGCACCAGACUUUGGGUUUUGGUUUGACUUAAGCGUGAAAUAUCUAUAGCAUCAUGCUAAAACACUAGCCAAAAUGUUGCGCGUUCUUGGAAUUAACUAGUGUCACCUUUUGUCACCAGGCAUUGUUAAACAGGUGAGAACCCGUGAUUACCAUAAACUAGGUAACGGGCACAAGUUUGGCAUUUCU